UCCUGACUGCUUAAGCUCAGACAUUGGUC
Molecule: non-coding RNA, 29 nt
Filed under: Homo sapiens (human)
Lineage: Eukaryota; Metazoa; Chordata; Mammalia; Primates; Hominidae
Source: RNAcentral